This 379-nucleotide ribosomal RNA is filed under the name uncultured Synechococcus sp. RNAcentral describes it as "bacterial SSU rRNA". It matches the Rfam family "Bacterial small subunit ribosomal RNA", at positions 367 to 762 of the family's 1533-position model. The record is from RNAcentral. Lineage: Bacteria; Bacillati; Cyanobacteriota; Cyanophyceae; Synechococcales; Synechococcaceae.
CGCAAUGGGCGAAAGCCUGACGGAGCAACGCCGCGUGAGGGAUGAAGGCCUCUGGGCUGUAAACCUCUUUUCUCAAGGAAGAAGAUUUGACGGUACUUGAGGAAUAAGCCACGGCUAAUUCCGUGCCAGCAGCCGCGGUAAUACGGGAGUGGCAAGCGUUAUCCGGAAUCAUUGGGCGUAAAGCGUCCGCAGGUGGCUUUGUAAGUCUGCCGUUAAAGCGUGGAGCUUAACUCCAUUUCAGCGGUGGAAACUACAAGGCUUGAGUGUGGUAGGGGCAGAGGGAAUUCCCGGUGUAGCGGUGAAAUGCGUAGAUAUCGGGAAGAACACCAGUGGCGAAGGCGCUUUGCUGGGCCAUAACUGACUCCCCUGACGAAAGCCA